GACGAACGCUGGCGGCGUGCCUAAUACAUGCAAGUCGAACGCUUCUUUCCUCCCGAGUGCUUGCACUCAAUUGGAAAGAGGAGUGGCGGACGGGUGAGUAACACGUGGGUAACCUACCCAUCAGAGGGGGAUGACACUUGGAAACAGGUGCUAAUACCGCAUAACAGUUUAUGCCGCAUGGCAUAAGAGUGAAAGGCGCUUUCGGGUGUCGCUGAUGGAUGGACCCGCGGUGCAUUAGCUAGUUGGGGAGGUAACGGCUCACCAAGGCCACGAUGCAUAGCCGACCUGAGAGGGUGAUCGGCCACACUGGAACUGAGACACGGCCCAGACUCCUACGGGAGGCAGCAGUAGGGAAUCUUCGGCAAUGGACGAAAGUCUGACCGAGCAACGCCGCGUGAGUGAAGAAGGUUUUCGGAUCGUAAAACUCUGUUGUUAGAGAAGAACAAGGACGUUAGUAACUGAACGUCCCCUGACGGUAUCUAACCAGAAAGCCACGGCUAACUACGUG
This 508-nucleotide ribosomal RNA is filed under the name uncultured bacterium. RNAcentral describes it as "partial 16S ribosomal RNA". It matches the Rfam family "Bacterial small subunit ribosomal RNA", at positions 28 to 507 of the family's 1533-position model. The record is from RNAcentral.